CUUUAUCAUUUUUUAGCAAAUUGUACUCUAUGAAUUAUGAAAGCAAUAAAGCCGGCACCCACGAAUUUCGGGGUCCUUUGCUGUUUCAGCUUUUGAAAGCAUGAGUCUUUAUUGUUCUAUAAGUCGCCCAAACAUGGACGCUAUCAAAUUCAAAGAGCGUAAGUCGCCAUGUUGCACUUGCUUCAAAACUGGGCUUUGAUAAACCGCCAAAGAGGACCAAUGUUGCCAAGUUGCACGAUCCAAACAUAGGCGCCUUAUAUAGUUUUGAGAAUUAAACCGGCUUACUUGGGGGCUACUAGUCCCCAAGUCGUUUUGCAGUAAGAGCGUAUACGCUUCUGUAAUCCUAUGUCUGGUUUCUUCCUAAACCAUAGGUCACUUGGGGGCUUCCACCCAUUGAGUUCAGCCUGAAUACCGUCUUGGCUAGCGAAAAAUUACCGCAUUACAAAUGGUUAUACUGGACUAUGUGUUGAACAAGUCACCACAUGGACCUAUGUACUCGAGACGAGUCAAUCCGCUAUUUGGAC
RNAcentral lists this long non-coding RNA (524 nucleotides) under Hordeum vulgare. Its description in RNAcentral is "long non-coding RNA (HVUL_LNC001600)". Lineage: Eukaryota; Viridiplantae; Streptophyta; Magnoliopsida; Poales; Poaceae. The record is from RNAcentral.